This 745-nucleotide ribosomal RNA is filed under the name uncultured bacterium. RNAcentral's name for it is "bacterial SSU rRNA". It matches the Rfam family "Bacterial small subunit ribosomal RNA", at positions 8 to 746 of the family's 1533-position model. The record is from RNAcentral.
AGAGUUUGAUCAUGGCUCAGAUUGAACGCUGGCGGCGUGCCUAACACAUGCAAGUCGAGCGGUAACAGGUGUAGCAAUACAUGCUGACGAGCGGCGGACGGGUGAGUAACGCUUGGGAAUCUGCCUGUUAGUGGGGGACAACCCGGGGAAACUCGGGCUAAUACCGCAUACGCACUACGGUGGAAAGCCGGGGACCGCAAGGCCUGGCGCUAACAGAUGAGCCCAAGUCGGAUUAGCUAGUUGGUAGGGUAAUGGCCUACCAAGGCGACGAUCCGUAACUGGUCUGAGAGGACGACCAGUCACACCGGAACUGAGACACGGUCCGGACUCCUACGGGAGGCAGCAGUGGGGAAUAUUGGACAAUGGGGGCAACCCUGAUCCAGCGACGCCGCGUGGGUGAAGAAGGCCUGCGGGUUGUAAAGCCCUUUCGGUUGGGAAGAAAAGCUGUGACCUGACAUGUCGCGGCCUUGACGUAACCAACUAAAGAAGCACCGGCUAACUCUGUGCCAGCAGCCGCGGUAAUACAGAGGGUGCGAGCGUUAAUCGGAAUUACUGGGCGUAAAGCGCGCGUAGGCGGCUUUGCAAGCCGGAUGUGAAAUCCCCGGGCUUAACCUGGGAACUGCAUUCGGGACUGCAUUGCUAGAGUAUGGGAGAGGGAAGUGGAAUUUCAGGUGUAGCGGUGAAAUGCGUAGAUAUCUGAAGGAACAUCAGUGGCGAAAGCGACUUCCUGGACCAAUACUGACGC